UCCGUAGGGUGAACCUGCGGAGGGAUCAUUACACAACAAAAUAUGAAGGCCUGGCUUCGCGGCCGGCUGAAAUAUUUUUUUCACCCAUGUCUUUUGCGCACUUGUUGUUUCCUGGGCGGGUUCGCCCGCCACCAGGACCAAACCAUAAACCUUUUUUUUAUGCAGUUGCAAUCAGCGUCAGUAAAAACAAUGUAAUUAUUACAACUUUCAACAACGGAUCUCUUGGUUCUGGCAUCGAUGAAGAACGCAGCGAAAUGCGAUACGUAGUGUGAAUUGCAGAAUUCAGUGAAUCAUCGAAUCUUUGAACGCACAUUGCGCCCUUUGGUAUUCCAAAGGGCAUGCCUGUUCGAGCGUCAUUUGUACCUUCAAGCUUUGCUUGGUGUUGGGCGUUUUUUGUCUCCCUCUUUCUGGGAGACUCGCCUUAAAACGAUUGGCAGCCGGCCUACUGGUUUCGGAGCGCAGCACAUAUUUUGCGCUUUGUAUCAGGAGAAAAGGACGGUAAUCCAUCAAGACUCUACAUUUUUAACUUUUGACCUCGGAUCAGGUAGGGAUACCCGCUGAACUUAAGCAUAUCAAUAAGCGGAGG
Molecule: ribosomal RNA, 586 nt
Filed under: Bipolaris sorokiniana
Lineage: Eukaryota; Fungi; Ascomycota; Dothideomycetes; Pleosporales; Pleosporaceae
Description: eukaryotic LSU rRNA
Rfam family: 5.8S ribosomal RNA (bases 203-356)
Source: RNAcentral